CCUACGGGAGGCAGCAGUGGGGAAUCUUGCGCAAUGUGCGAAAGCCUGACGCAGCAACGCCGCGUGCGGGAAGAAGGCUUUCGGGCUGUAAACCGCUUUCAGCAGGAACGAAAAUGACGGUACCUGCAGAAGAAGGAGCGGCCAACUAUGUGCCAGCAGCCGCGGUGAUACAUAGGCUUCAAGCGUUGUCCGGAUUUAUUGGGCGUAAAGAGUUCGUAGGCGGUCAAGUAAGUCGGGUGUGAAAAUUCUGGGCUCAACCCAGAGACGCCACCCGAUACUGCUUAACUUGAGUUCGAUAGGGGAGUGGGGAAUUCCUAGUGUAGCGGUGAAAUGCGCAGAUAUUAGGAGGAACACCGGUGGCGAAGGCGCCACUCUGGAUCGAUACUGACGCUGAGGAACGAAAGCAUGGGUAGCAAACAGGAUUAGAUACCCUGGUAGUCCAUGCCGUAAACGGUGGGCACUAGGUGUGGGUUUCUAUUAACGAAAUCCGCGCCGUCGCUAACGCAUUAAGUGCCCCGCCUGGGGAGUACGGUCGCAAGACUAAACUUAAAGGAAUUGAACGGNUGAGAGUGCGAGCGACACGAGGAGAGG
This 591-nucleotide ribosomal RNA is filed under the name uncultured bacterium. RNAcentral's name for it is "bacterial SSU rRNA". It matches the Rfam family "Bacterial small subunit ribosomal RNA", at positions 338 to 944 of the family's 1533-position model. The record is from RNAcentral.